UAAUACGUAGGGCGCAAGCGUUGUCCGGAAUUAUUGGGCGUAAAGAGCUCGUAGGCGGUCUGUCACGUCGGAAGUGAAAACCCGGGGCUUAACCCCGGGCUUGCUUUCGAUACGGGCAGACUAGAGUGUGGUAGGGGAGACUGGAAUUCCUGGUGUAGCGGUGAAAUGCGCAGAUAUCAGGAGGAACACCGGUGGCGAAGGCGGGUCUCUGGGCCACUACUGACGCUGAGGAGCGAAAGCGUGGGGAGCAAACAGGAUUAGAUACCCUGGUAGUCCACGCCGUAAACGUUGGGCGCUAGGUGUGGGGGUCCUUCCACGACCUCCGUGCCGCAGCUAACGCAUUAAGCGCCCCGCCUGGGGAGUACGGCCGCAAGGCUA
RNAcentral lists this ribosomal RNA (378 nucleotides) under uncultured bacterium. Its description in RNAcentral is "bacterial SSU rRNA". It matches the Rfam family "Bacterial small subunit ribosomal RNA", at positions 521 to 896 of the family's 1533-position model. The record is from RNAcentral.